This is a long non-coding RNA of Vicia villosa (hairy vetch), 884 nucleotides long. RefSeq lists it as uncharacterized. NCBI's taxonomy places the organism in Eukaryota, Viridiplantae, Streptophyta, Magnoliopsida, Fabales, Fabaceae. The transcript has 3 exons. The record is from RefSeq and is a predicted model, not a curated record.
UUGCUAAAAAUGAAAAAGCAAAAGAAAACCACAACUCUAAUCGUGAAUCAUCUUCAUCGUCUGUUUCAUAAAUCCUCGUCGUCAACCGUCGUAUGGAGCAUCUUUGUUCUAGGAUCUCAGCAAACCCUACCUCUUAUGCGGCUAAAUCCACGAUUUCAGUUCACUUAGCUUGAUGCGGAAGCACGACUCAAGGAUAAGAAGGCAAGAGAUUUUACGGUUUAGUGAAGAUCUGAAGGAAGCUCAAGGUAUUUCAUGUGUUAAGGAGUUUUGCAUUAUGAUAAAUUUUUGCUAAGGAUUUUGUAAACAAGGUGUUUGUUGAAAUGCCACAACGGGUAUACCUAUGUUGAUUUUGAGUAUAACUCAUUUAUAAUUGUUGUAACAUGUUUACAAAUAAAUAUUGUUUGUUGGGAAUGCCUUAUUUCUUGUUUGAUUGAGUAAAAGUUCAUCUUAACAAGCCACGACUCUGAGUCAAGGUGCUUCAAGGAUUGGUUUAAUAUUCAUUUAGAUGUGUAUGUAACGUUUGAUCAAUUUUAAUUUGCAGAAGUUUAUCCGUUAGUGUUGAUGUGGUUUGUGUAUACUCACUGUCAAUUUUAUUUUUAUGUAAUAUAUGAUUAUCCAUAAAACAAGUGACAGAAAAAUUAUAAGAUGAUAUAUCAUAUACAAAACAAAAAAUUCGGGUCAUAAACUAAAUUUAGAUUACAAAUAACAGUGGCUCCUUUUAACCCCGUCUCGUAUGAUUUGUUGGGUUUUGAUAUAUUACAACCAAUGAUAGUGGUAUUUGAUGGGAUAUGUUUGGUGGUUGAAAAAAACUUAUAUUAGUUUUAUAUUUUGGUGGACUAAUUGGAAAUGUGUAAAUCACUAUGUUCACUUCUUAAUUUCUAUGU